This is a small RNA of Pontibacillus marinus BH030004 = DSM 16465, 67 nucleotides long. It matches the Rfam family "Bacillaceae-1 RNA". The record is from Rfam. Lineage: Bacteria; Bacillati; Bacillota; Bacilli; Caryophanales; Bacillaceae.
GGAUAAGGAUGAUCGGUUAAGUUCGUCACGUCCUGUGACAACACCGAUCUGACCUACGUCCUGUAGG